Molecule: long non-coding RNA, 666 nt
Filed under: Pan troglodytes (chimpanzee)
Lineage: Eukaryota; Metazoa; Chordata; Mammalia; Primates; Hominidae
Description: long non-coding RNA NONPTRT006323
Source: RNAcentral
AUAGCAAUUCCUGAAAGAGCUAAAAGCAGAACUAAUAUUCAACCCAGCAAUCCCAUUACUGGGUAUACACUCAGAGGAAUAUAAAUCAUUCUGCCAUAAAGACACAUGCAUGCAAAUGUUCACCACAGCACUAUUCACAAUAGCAAAGACGUGGAAUCAACCUAAAUGCCUAUCAAUGAAAGAUUAAAUAAAGAAAAUAUGUACACCACGGAAUACAAUACAGCCAUAAAAUAUUAUUCUUAGCAAACUAACCCUGGAACAAAUACUGCAUGUUCUCACUGAGGCUGAGGGUACAGUGAGCCAUGAUUGUGCCACUGCACUCCAGCCUAGGUGGCAGAGCAAGACCCUGUCUCAAACAAACAAACAAACAAAAACCCCACAAUAAUAAAGAUGAGUGCUAGGAUUCUAUACAUCUUCUAUUAAAAUGUUUGUCCUCAGAAUUGAAAAUGAGGCCCAGAAGAUUAACUAACCCAUCCAUAAUUUCACAGCCAAACAAGGGAUAGGGUCAGGAUUUGAAGCCAAAAUUGUCUGCCAUUUCAGAGGAAACCAGACUCAGGCCGCUGUAGAGUCCUGUAGAGCGGCAACUUGGCUCCCCAGGCAGGCAGCUGGUGACUUCCCAGGGUCUGGCACAUGAAAUAGGUCUCCUGAAGUCCUCCCCCUACUUCA